ACUCCUACGGGAGGCAGCAGUAGGGAAUCUUCCACAAUGGGCGCAAGCCUGAUGGAGCAACACCGCGUGAGUGAAGAAGGGUUUCGGCUCGUAAAGCUCUGUUGUUAAAGAAGAACACGUAUGAGAGUAACUGUUCAUACGUUGACGGUAUUUAACCAGAAAGUCACGGCUAACUACGUGCCAGCAGCCGCGGUAAUACGUAGGUGGCAAGCGUUAUCCGGAUUUAUUGGGCGUAAAGAGAGUGCAGGCGGUUUUCUAAGUCUGAUGUGAAAGCCUUCGGCUUAACCGGAGAAGUGCAUCGGAAACUGGAUAACUUGAGUGUAGAAGAGGGUAGUGGAACUCCAUGUGUAGCGGUGGAAUGCGUAGAUAUAUGGAAGAACACCAGUGGCGAAGGCGGCUACCUGGUCUGCAACUGACGCUGAGACUCGAAAGCAUGGGUAGCGAACAGGAUUAGAUACCCUGGUAGGAUACCG
This 473-nucleotide ribosomal RNA is filed under the name uncultured bacterium. RNAcentral describes it as "bacterial SSU rRNA". It matches the Rfam family "Bacterial small subunit ribosomal RNA", at positions 335 to 797 of the family's 1533-position model. The record is from RNAcentral.